AAUGAACGCUGGCGGCAGGCCUAACACAUGCAAGUCGAACGGAUCCUUCGGGAUUAGUGGCGGACGGGUGAGUAACGCGUGGGAACAUACCCUUUGGUACGGAAUAGCCUCGGGAAACUGGGAGUAAUACCGUAUGUGGUCGAGAGACGAAAGAUUUAUCGCCAAAGGAUUGGCCCGCGUUGGAUUAGGUAGUUGGUGGGGUAAUGGCCUACCAAGCCGACGAUCCAUAGCUGGUUUGAGAGGAUGAUCAGCCACACUGGGACUGAGACACGGCCCAGACUCAUACGGGAGGCAGCAGUGGGGAAUCUUAGACAAUGGGGGAAACCCUGAUCGAGCCAUGCCGCGUGAUCGAUGAAGGCCUUAGGGUUGUAAAGAUCUUUCAGGUGGGAAGAUAAUGACUGUACCACCAGAAGAAGCCCCGGCUAACUCCGUGCCAGCAGCCGCGGUAA
RNAcentral lists this ribosomal RNA (449 nucleotides) under uncultured bacterium. RNAcentral's name for it is "partial 16S ribosomal RNA". It matches the Rfam family "Bacterial small subunit ribosomal RNA", at positions 29 to 523 of the family's 1533-position model. The record is from RNAcentral.